CCUACGGGAGGCUGCAGUGAGGAAUAUUGGUCAAUGGGCUGACGCCUGAACCAGCCAAGUCGCGUGAGGGAAGACGGCCCUAUGGGUUGUAAACCUCUUUUGUCAGGGAGCAAAAGGCGCUACGUGAAGCGUUAUGGAGAGAACCUGAAGAAAAAGCAUGGGCAAACCCGGGGCACGAAGUCGCGGUACUACGGCGGAUGCGAGCGUUAUCGGGUUUUCUUGGGUUUAAAGGGUGCGUAGGCGGAAGGCCAAGUCAGCGGUAAAAUCGCGGGGCUCAACCUCGCUCCGCCGUUGAAACUGGCGUUCUUGAGUGGGCGAGAAGUCUGCGGAAUGCGUGGUGUAGCGGUGACAUGCUUAGAUAUCACGCAGAACUCCGAUUGCGAAGGCAGCAUACCGGCGCCCAUCUGACGCUGAGGCACGAAAGCGUGGGUAUCGAACAGGAUUAGAUACCCCUGUAGUC
This 460-nucleotide ribosomal RNA is filed under the name uncultured bacterium. Its description in RNAcentral is "partial 16S ribosomal RNA". It matches the Rfam family "Bacterial small subunit ribosomal RNA", at positions 338 to 795 of the family's 1533-position model. The record is from RNAcentral.